AUGGCCGCUCCGCCGCCGACGCUCGCCCUGGCGGUGGAGAAGGGGCCACGGGCGGGGGAGACCCGGCAGUGCAGCGCGGGCGCCGCCCUCCGCGUCGGUCGCGUCGUCAAGGGCAACGAUCUCGCCGUGCGCGACGGGGGCGCGUCGCAGCAGCACCUCGUCAUCGAGUUCCUCCCGCCGCCCGGCGCCGGCUGGGCCGUCUCCGAUCUCGGGUCCUCCAAUGGCACCCUCCUCAACGGCAAGCCCCUCGCGCCCUCCGUCCCCGCCCCGCUCUCCCAUGGGGACCUAAUCAAGGUCGGCGAUUCAACCGUGCUCGCCGUCUCCAUCGCGCCUGAUUCGGAUCCCAAGCCUGUCGCCAACCCCAGUUCCAGGCGCUCCUCGCGGCAGACGGCGGUGGUGGCACCGAUUGCGGCGGAGGAGAAGCCCCCUGCGGUGACCCGCCGUGGCGCACGAAAGAAAGCGCCGCCGGCCGCCCAGCACCCCGACACGCAGAAGGAAGAUCCAGAGGCAGAGGGAGUGGCGGUGGAUGAGAAGCCCCAGGUGGUUGCGCGCCGGGGAGGAUGGCAGAAGCUGGCUGCAGCGGAGCCCCUAUUUGAGAUGGAGACUGUGAAGGCGCCUCGCCGUGGAGAGCAGAGGAAGCCCGUGGAGCCGUCUGCACCAGAGAAUGAGGAGGUGGAUAAGGAGGAGGCCACGGCGGUGCCGCGUCGUGGCAGACGGAAGAAUGCUGCGCAGCCCCCUGAACUAGAGAAGGAAAAGGAGGAGGCCACAGUGGUGACGCGCCGUGGCAGACACAAGAAUGUUGUGGGGCCGUCUGAACCAGAGAAGGAAGAGGAGGAGGAGGCCACGGCGGUGACACGCCGUGGCAGGCAGAAGAAUGUUGUGGGGCCCUCUGAACCAGAGAAGGAAGAGGAGGAGGAGGCCAUGGCGGUGACACGCCGUGGCAGGCAGAAGAAUGUUGUGGAGCCCUCUGAACCAGAGAAGGAAGAGGAGGCCACAGCGGUGACACGCCGUGGCAUGCAGAAGAAUGCUGUGCAGCCCCCUGAACCAGAGAAGGAAAAGGAGGAGGAGGCCACAGUGGUGACGCGCUUUGGAAGGCAGAAGAAUGUUGUGGAGCCCCCUAAACCGGAGAAGGAAGAGGAGGAGGAGGCCCCGGUGGUGACAAACCGUAGAGGGAGGAAGAAGAAUGUGGUGACGGACGCCCCUCCGCAAUUGCCUCCGAAGAUGAGGUCCAUAAGGGGCCGUGGCAAAAAGGCUAGUGCAAGCGACAUGGUUCUUGAGGAUGUGGAAGAGAAGGGAGGAAAUGAGUUGGCUGUAUCAAGAGCUCGUCCUGAGGACUUGCUCGUUUCGGCGACAUUGAAGGGUGUUAAGGCUCAGAAGAGGGAUAAGGUGGCAUCUGGGGAUGGAGACAUAGAAGGGGCUGCAGUGUCAUUGGAGGAGAAAGUGCCGAAGGGGAGGGCCAGUGCUCGGCUUGCCGCUUUCGAUAAUGGUGCUAAUGCGGCUGCAGCGCCCAUUGAAGAGAUGGAGGAGGCUGUGGAUGCAACGCUCCGAGGGAGGCAGAAGAAGGACGUUGAACCUCAUGAACCAGAGAAGGACGAGGAGGAGGAGGCCAUGGUGGUGACACGUCGCGGGAGGCGGAAGAAGAACAUGGAACCUCAUGAACCAGAGAAGGAAGAGAAGGAGGACAAAGCCCCAGUGGUGAUGCACCAUGGCGCAACGAAGAAGAAUGCGGCGCCAGUUGCUCCUGUAUCACUGCCUCCAAAGAGGAAGUCUGCAAGGGGCCGGGGAAGGCCUACAAGGGCCAGUACAAUGAACACAGUUCUUGAGGAGGAGGUGGUGGAGGAGGAGCAGGGGGGAAAUAAGUUGAGUGCGUCAAGAGCACGCACAGGGAAGCCACCGACUUCGACGACGGUGAAGAAGGGGGAUAAUGCAGCAGCUGUGGAUGGAGAGGUCAAAAGAACUGCAAAGCCGUUGGAGGAGAAAUUACCAAAGAGGAGGGCCGUUGCUAAGCUUGCUGCUAACAAUAUCUCUUAUGCGGCUGCAGCCAAGCCCACUGAAGAGAUGGAGGAGGCUACAGAAGCGUCUCACCACGGGGGGCAGAAAGCCAUGGAGCACCCUGAACUAGAGAAUGAUGAGGAUGUCACCAUGGUGACGCACCGUGGGGAGCGGAAGAGGGCUGCUGUGGUGAAGCGCCGUGUUGCCGGGAAAAAGGAUGUGGUGGCAGUGAUGAGGUCUGGAAGGGGCCGAGGAAGGGUUGGAAGGACUAGGGCAAGGAAUAACGUUCCUGAGGAAGACAACAUGGUGGUAGAAAAGGAAAAUGAAUUGCCUGUGCCAAGAGAGCUGGCAGGGAAUCUGCCAGUUGCGACCGCGGUGAAUGGGGGUGAGGAUAGAGAAGUCAAAGGAACCAAAAAAGCAGUGGAGUCUGAAUUGCCAAAGGGGAGGGCCAGUGCCCAGUCUUCUUCCGACAACAAGAGUGAGGAGGAACAGGGUGGUGCGGAUGGUUCUUCUAGAGUUGCCAGUGCCCAGUCUUCUUCCGACAACAAGGGUGGUGCGAAUGGUUCUUCUAGACUUGAUUCAGGAUCUAACGGAAUCCCCAACACAACAAGCAAAUACAGAGAGGAUAGAAAACUGAAGCCGUACUCGACUCCCUUUGAUGUCAGGCUGGAUAGAGCUCUGAAGAAAUACUCUGCAUGA
Molecule: ribosomal RNA, 2691 nt
Filed under: Triticum aestivum (bread wheat)
Lineage: Eukaryota; Viridiplantae; Streptophyta; Magnoliopsida; Poales; Poaceae
Description: partial small subunit ribosomal RNA
Source: RNAcentral